This 253-nucleotide ribosomal RNA is filed under the name uncultured bacterium. Its description in RNAcentral is "partial 16S ribosomal RNA". It matches the Rfam family "Bacterial small subunit ribosomal RNA", at positions 524 to 776 of the family's 1533-position model. The record is from RNAcentral.
UACGAAGGGGGCUAGCGUUGUUCGGAAUUACUGGGCGUAAAGCGCGCGCAGGCGGCUAUCCAAGUCAGUGGUGAAAGCCCGGAGCUCAACUCCGGAACUGCCAUUGAAACUGUUUAGCUUGAGGACGAGAGAGGUGAGUGGAAUUCCCAGUGUAGAGGUGAAAUUCGCAGAUAUCAGGAGGAACACCGAUGGCGAAGGCAGGUCUCUGGGCAUUAACUGACGCUGAGGAGCGAAAGCAUGGGGAGCGAACAGG